UACAUAGCUCAGUUGGUAGAGCAUAAGACUCUUAAUCUUAGGGUCACGGGUUCAAGCCCCAUGUUGCGCAA
Non-coding RNA from Podarcis lilfordi (Lilford's wall lizard), 71 nucleotides. The record is from the annotation of a GenBank genome assembly. Lineage: Eukaryota; Metazoa; Chordata; Lepidosauria; Squamata; Lacertidae.